GGCUUGUUACCACAUCAAGGUUCAGGAACAAUGGACCCAGAGCGGAUAUCCUCCACAUAGACAGUUCCUUAUCAGUUGCUGUUUUGUGUGGGAGCACAUUUGCGUGAACUUAAGGUGAACGUUUGGGCUUUCUCAGCAGUCGGGAGACAAUUUUGUAAAGUGCUUCUUUUAAUUCCCCUUACAAACCUUUGUGAACUGCCUUCAUUGGCAACUAGAACGUUUUAAACAGUUUCUUAAAUGGCCUAAACUCUCAGAUGAAAAGAGAUGAAGGCUGUUUUUCUAGAGCAUCCACAAGAAAGUAACUUCAUGAGGAAGAAGAAAAGAACAAGAGAAGUUGAAUUACUUGGGGUUCACUGGUGCCACCAGCACCCCUUCAUGUUGUUUUCCAUGACACUCUUUUAAUCAGCUCUCUGCUCUCCUUUUAUGAAGUCAUAAAUCAUUAUCUGACUGCAUUGAAAUAAUUUCACAGUCUCUCUGCUUUGUAUCCAUAGCAGCUGGUCAAUAAACUGCAACUUAAACACA
Long non-coding RNA from Carassius carassius (crucian carp), 522 nucleotides. RefSeq lists it as uncharacterized. The record is from RefSeq and is a predicted model, not a curated record. The transcript has 4 exons. NCBI's taxonomy places the organism in Eukaryota, Metazoa, Chordata, Actinopteri, Cypriniformes, Cyprinidae.